AAUUAAUGAGCUUGUAUAAGCAUAUGUUUUGAAAACAUAAGAAAGUAUAAUUAAUUACUAUUAAUUU
Molecule: transfer RNA, 67 nt
Filed under: Nothochrysa sp. YTD-2015
Lineage: Eukaryota; Metazoa; Arthropoda; Insecta; Neuroptera; Chrysopidae
Description: tRNA-Ser
Source: RNAcentral